GGAUGUGAGGGUGAGCUGGCUGUGACAUCUGUCACCCCAUUGAUUGCCAGGGUCGAUUCAGCUGACCUGGCGUGCUAGGUGAGUGUCCCCUUCCUCCCGCACCCCUCCAUGUUUGUCCCUCCUGAAGCUGCCCGCUCAGUUGAAGAGGACAACCAGUCUUCAGUCAGGGGUGUACAGGUAGCCACACUCCCCUGCUGGACCCGCCGAACAAGCUCUCAAAAACGUGUGCAUUAAUGUUCAUAGCAGCAGAAGGGAAACAGCCUGGAUGUGGAGAAACUACAGAGGGGACAAGUGCAGUGUCCUUACAGU
RNAcentral lists this small nuclear RNA (309 nucleotides) under Nannospalax galili (Upper Galilee mountains blind mole rat). RNAcentral's name for it is "7SK RNA (ENSNGAG00000008055.1)". It matches the Rfam family "7SK RNA". Rfam says of the family: 7SK was discovered as an abundant small nuclear RNA in the mid-70s but a possible function has only recently been suggested. Two independent studies have found that 7SK RNA binds the CDK9/cyclin T complex (known as elongation factor P-TEFb). The record is from RNAcentral. Lineage: Eukaryota; Metazoa; Chordata; Mammalia; Rodentia; Spalacidae.